AGGUUUCUUUAUGAUUGUACAAAAAUCAAGAUCUAAGAUAAAAAAAAGUUUCUGGGUUUAAUGUUUAACUGCGUAGAAAUUAAUCACCGAUCAUUCCAGACCGUUCUGCCCUGACUCCUCGUUCUUCUUACGAUUGACAAUAUGAUUAAAGUGAAACUGCCGAAGAAGGUCGGCCUGAUCUUCUCCGACACGGUCUUACUCCCGGGCAUGUCCAAGAAGAUAGUCAUCUCAUCAGAAGACAAUAUAAAAACGCUCAAAUAUUAUAUGGAAUCUGAAGAUGAUGACUAUAUCUUAGGCUUUAUCCCAUCAAAAAAUGAAGAAGUUAUAAAGGAGAAAGGCAUGAUUGGCUCGCUAGGAUAUGUCAAGAACGUGUACACAUCUCAAAACGGAGAGUCGAAGUUGCACGUUGUCGUCGUAGGUAUUUGCAGGUUCAAAGUUGCCAGUUUGGCAGGCGAAGUAAAAGUGCCUAUCAUCAUCGUUAAAGACUUGAUAGUAAAAGAGACGACUGAAUCCAUUGAAAACUGGCAGACCCUCGUAUCGAACAUCCCCAGAAUAUUGAAAAAGCAGCUGGCUUUCGAAGGCGCCGCCCACUUUGGGCUCGCUUCGCACACAAGAAUAAUGCUGAUCGAUGCCUGUGCUGAUAUCGUUGCGACCACUUUUGAAGACCGCGUUGAUAUUUUGAUAUCGCUUGAUCCUCUAGAAAGGCUCAAGAAAACUGUUGCUUUAAUUGAAAAGUACGAAGAUGAUACUGUAAAAAUGCAAUAUCCUGCGAUAAUGGGUUCAAACAUGCCUCUACCAGGUGGUGGAUCGUAUAUAAUCAAUGGAGGGCCUCGUAACUCAAAUGUAAAAGACAUCAAAGAUCUUCGUGAGAGAUUAAAAGCGGUUAAUUUACCAGAAGCGGCGAGCAAAGUUGCAGAGCAGGAACUUGCAAAAUUGGAAAGGAUGUCAACUAACAACCCAGAACACGUUGUAAUCCAUUCGUACCUUGAUCUUAUCCUCUCACUCCCAUGGUCCGUGUCCAGCACAAAGGAAAUAAACAUAAGUGAAGCCAGAAAGACUUUAGACAAGGAUCAUUACGCAUUAAUGCAAGUGAAGAAAAGAGUUCUUGAAUACUUAGCUGUAAAACGUUUGAAAAAGGACAACCUGAAUGCACCGAUACUUUGUUUCGUUGGGCCACCAGGAGUUGGAAAGACGAGUGUGGGCAGGUCGAUCGCAAACAUCAUGGGUCGCAAGUUUCAAAGGAUUUGCCUUGGCGGAGUGUCUAACCCUAGUGUAAUCAGGGGCCAUAGGAAAGCCUAUGUCGGAGCGAUGUGCGGACGCAUAAUACAAGCUUUGAAAAACGCCGGUGAAAACAACCCCGUAAUACUAUUCGAUGAGAUAGAUAAGCUGGGGUUUGGAACACAAGGCGAUCCAUCGUCUGCGCUCUUGGAAGUCCUAGACCCAGAACAGAACAGGCAUUUUGUUGAUCAUUAUCUGAACAUACCGUUUGACCUUUCACAAAUCGUUUUUCUGGCGACGGCCAACACAAUUAAGACAAUCCAGCCAGCGCUAGUCGACAGGAUGGAAGUCAUAGAAGUCUCCGGUUACACAACAGAAGAAAAAUGUCAGAUUGUUAAAAGCUACUUACUACCUAAACAAAUUGACAUGCAUGGUUUGAAGCCCGAGUAUUUCCAUUUACCAGACGAGUCCAUUGAAUAUCUCAUCAGAAGAUACACAUUAGAAUCAGGAGUAAGAAAUGCCGAGAGAAACAUCGCCGCAGUAUGCAGGAGCGUGGCACUUACGGUUGCUGAUUCAAACACGCAUGAAGAUAUAUUCCCUAUUGUCAUCGACCAAGAUAAAAUCAUUGAAAUACUAGGGAGGGAAAAAUUCAGCGAGACGAGCUUGGAAGAUUGCCUGGCAGGGGUUAUGUCAGGAGUGGCUGUCGGGCUUUCUUACACCCCUGUUGGAGGUGCGAUCAUCAUAAUCGAGGCGCGUCAGUUCCCAUACGGAAAAGGCGAACUCUUACUGACCGGCCGAGUUGGGAAAGUCCUGUCUGAAUCCGCGAAAAUCGCCUUGAACUGGGUUCGAGCGAAUGCUGCGAUGAGUUCGGUGAAGAUGUGAUGAACGAAAUUGAUGUGCAUGUCCAUAUGCCGGCCGGUGCUGUGGAAAAAGAAGGCCCUUCGGCAGGCGUCACUCUCGCCACGGCGUUGAUUUCACUGUUCGCAGACAUGCCCAUCGUACCUGACCUUGCCAUGACUGGGGAAUUAUCCCUUCAAGGGCAGGUAUUGCCGGUGGGAGGUAUCAAGGAAAAAGUCCUAUCUGCCGUGCGUAACGGGAUCAAAAAGGUUAUCAUGCCCAAAAAAUCA
Molecule: unclassified non-coding RNA, 2345 nt
Filed under: Cimex lectularius (bed bug)
Lineage: Eukaryota; Metazoa; Arthropoda; Insecta; Hemiptera; Cimicidae
Description: lon protease homolog 2, peroxisomal-like, transcript variant X1
Source: RNAcentral